RNAcentral lists this ribosomal RNA (492 nucleotides) under uncultured bacterium. RNAcentral's name for it is "partial 16S ribosomal RNA". It matches the Rfam family "Bacterial small subunit ribosomal RNA", at positions 29 to 507 of the family's 1533-position model. The record is from RNAcentral.
AGUGAACGCUGGCGGUAGGCCUAACACAUGCAAGUCGAACGGCAGCACAGUAAGAGCUUGCUCUUACGAGUGGCGAGUGGCGGACGGGUGAGGAAUACAUCGGAAUCUACUUUUUCGUGGGGGAUAACGUAGGGAAACUUACGCUAAUACCGCAUACGACCUACGGGUGAAAGCAGGGGAUCUUCGGACCUUGCGCGAUUGAAUGAGCCGAUGUCGGAUUAGCUAGUUGGCGGGGUAAAGGCCCACCAAGGCGACGAUCCGUAGCUGGUCUGAGAGGAUGAUCAGCCACACUGGAACUGAGACACGGUACAGACUCCUACGGGAGGCAGCAGUGGGGAAUAUUGGACAAUGGGCGCAAGACUGAUCCAGCCAUACCGCGUGGGUGAAGAAGGCCUUCGGGUUGUAAAGCCCUUUUGUUGGGAAAGAAAAGCAGCAGGUUAAUACCCCGCUGUUCUGACGGUACCCAAAGAAUAAGCACCGGCUAACUUCGUG